AUAAUUAGGUGGUGACUCUUCAACUUUAAUCAAAUAUGAAAUUGCCUAUAUGUUGUACCUAAUUUGACCCAUGUUAAAAUAAGGUGUAACAAAGGUCAAAGGAUAUAGCUUCAGUGAAAGUACAGUGGAGAGGUCGGCCUAUGGGGAGCUACCUGGGAGACCGAGCGGGAGAUGCAGAGCACAUAUCCUCACCUGUUUGAGGCUUUAGGUAUGUUUCUUGACCCGUUCGAGCACGAACGUUUGUUUAAGUUGGGGACUAUGUGAUGACCCGGCCAGUUGUUUGAGUUAUUGCUCCAUUUCUCCCAUUUAUAUUUCUUUAUACUUUGUUAUCCAUAUUUUGUGGUAUUGGGUUGGUCGGAUCGAGUCCGGAAUGAUUUUGGUAAGGUUUGAGACACUUAGUCUCUUUUAAGAAGGUUUAAGUUGGAAAAGUUCAACCGGAAUUUGACCUAUGUAUUUGAGGGCUCGGAUAUGACUUAGGAUGGUUCGGUUAGCUCCGGGAGGUGAUUUAUGACUUAGUAGUGUAAUCGGAAUGGGUUUAGGAGGUCCGGAGUAGAAUUAGGCGUGAAUUGGCGAAGUUGAUAUUUUGGCGAUUUCCUAUUGAUAGGUGAGAUUUUCUUAGAAGGGUCAGAAUAAAAUUCCGAGAGUUAAAGUAGCUUGCUUGUGUCAUUUGGGAUGUGAGUGCAAAAUUUUAGCUCAUUCAGAUGUGGUUUGGUUGUGUUUUUUUAUCAAAAGUGUGUUUCGGAAGAUUUUAGAAACUUAGGCUUGAAUCCGAUGUAUUUUGGGUGAUUUGAUGUUGUUUGAGGUGUUUUAUGAUUGGAACAAGUUUGAAUAAGGUUUUGAGAUGUGUUGGUACUUUUGGUUGAGGUCCUGGGGGCCUCGGGUGAGGUUCGGAUGGUCAAUCGGACAAUUUCGUGCCUUAAAAGAUAGCAGAAAGCUGCAGGUUCAGUGUUGCAUGAAAUUGCUCUUCGCGAUCACAUAGAAGGAAUCAAGGUAGGGCAUCCAGUUCGCAUUCGCGAUUGCAGGCACGCUAUCCCAUAGCAUGGGAGAAUUGUUCAUCGCGAACGCGUGAGCGAAGUUGCAUUCGCGUAGGAUCAAUUGGACAUGGGUCUUGGCAUGUCGUUUGUGCAUUGCGCGAUGCGGGGUUAUGUCCGUGAUCGCGUAAGGUUUUUCAUCUGGUCAUCGCAUUUUCAUGUUCUUUGUCGCAUUCGCAUAGUAUAUUUUUGGGGAGUUUAAACUUUGUUCUUCGGAAUCGCGAGGGAAGUGUCGCGAUCGCGAUGAAGGAGAUGAGGCAUGUGCAGAAUGUUUCUAAAGUCAUCUUAUUUGCAAAUGUAGGUCUAUUUUCACCCAUAGCUGCUCAUUUUGAGAGAUGUUUGAAGUAGAUUGAAGAGGGAUUCAAGGGGAAAUGAUUUGAGGUAAUAAGUUCGGACCUAAAACUUGAUUCUAUUGUGAAAUCUACCUAGAAAAUCAUGGAAAUUUAAGCUAAAAAUGGAAGAACCAGGGCUUGGAAUUUUGGACUUUUGAUUAGGGAUUGGAGGACCAUUUAGCGUCAGAUUUGAGAACUUUUGAUAUGUAUGAACUCGUGGGGAGAUAAGGAACCCAUUGAUGUAAAAAAUUUUGAAUUUUGAGACCGAGACUCGGAUUUUGCUAAUUUCGGGAUUUUUGGUAUUUUUUUAUUGUUUUCACUUGGGCUUUGUUCCCUUAGCAAAUUGUGACGUAUUCGUUCUGAUUUUGGAUAGACUCAAUGCGCGUGGAGGCCGAUUCGAGGGACAAAGGCAUUGCGAGCUAUAGAUUUAGCCGGUUAGAGGUGAGUAAUGAUUGUAAAUGAUGCUCUGAGGGUUGGAAACCCCGAAUUUGCACAUCGUAGAGCUAUAUUGAGGCGAGACAUGUGCUUGAUGAUGAGCGUGGGGUCGUAUAAUAUUGAGGAUUGUGACUUGGUCCGUACUAAUUGAUGUUUUUGCCACAUAUUUGACUGAAACUUAUUUUCUAUCAUCAUGAUUUGCGAUCAAUGCCAAUUAUAUGAACCUUUCGGGGAUUUUCAUUACUAUUUCCUUACUGUUUUGACUUAUUACUUGAACUCAGUCUUGAUAAUUUCCAUUGUUUUAUUAUUCAGCCAUUCUUUCUCAGUUUUUAAGACUUUAAUGAUAUUUUAAAUGAUGUUUGGGCUGAAAAUACUAUUUUACUAUUAAUCGAGGGGGUUGUGAUAAUUUUUGGACAGAGUAAUAUCGACUGUGAGGAACAUUGAUACCAAUUUGAGGACGAGGGCAUGAGAUACAUAUAUGUCACGAGGUGGUUUGAUUGAUACGAGGCCUAUAGCCUAGAUUUGAUUCCACGAGAUGGAUUGUUAUUGUGUUUGGGCCGUAAAGGGCCUCUCCCAAAGUCUGUACACCGCCAGUGAGCGCGGGUACCCAGUUGUGAUAUGAGAUUGAGCCCGAGGGGCUGGUACUCUACUAAAAUAUAGAUCGAGGGGUGGAUUUGUGGAUACUGAGCCGGAGUACUCACAUUACUCCUUGCAUCGUAUGUGCAGAUUUACACGUCGAUGUGUCGGGUUGGAUAUUCCAUACCUUAUUAUACAUUUUUCACUAUUUAGUAUCAUUUAAUCAUUCUUAUAUUGCUUUCAUGUUAAUUAACUGCUUAAAAUGAGAAUUUGGUUCAAUUGGCUGGCCUUUUCCUCACGAGAGGCUUUAUCACGACCGAGUUCGGGGUUAGUGUCGUAACAAAUAGAAAGGCAAUAGCAAAUCCAUAAAUGUUUCUUUAAGUCUUCUCUGGUGGAGGCCAGUGCACAAGUCCUAUACUUGUAGGAGCGAUUCAUGUGCACUUUGCUUUUCCUUUUGGCCUAUCUACUUUAGCUUUGUAAUCACACUUGGAAGGCAUGAAUGAAGAAAAUCACUAAUUUAUUCUA
Molecule: long non-coding RNA, 2899 nt
Filed under: Nicotiana benthamiana
Lineage: Eukaryota; Viridiplantae; Streptophyta; Magnoliopsida; Solanales; Solanaceae
Description: long non-coding RNA (NBEN_LNC039512)
Source: RNAcentral